Molecule: ribosomal RNA, 1019 nt
Filed under: uncultured organism
Description: bacterial SSU rRNA
Rfam family: Bacterial small subunit ribosomal RNA
Source: RNAcentral
GAGGAAUAUUGGUCAAUGGACGAGAGUCUGAACCAGCCAAGUAGCGUGAAGGAUGAAGGUUCUAUGGAUUGUAAACUUCUUUUAUACGGGAAUAAACGAAUCCACGCGUGGAUUUUUGCAUGUACCGUAUGAAUAAGGAUCGGCUAACUCCGUGCCAGCAGCCGCGGUAAUACGGAGGAUCCGAGCGUUAUCCGGAUUUAUUGGGUUUAAAGGGAGCGUAGAUGGGUUGUUAAGUCAGUUGUGAAAGUUUGCGGCUCAACCGUAAAAUUGCAAUUGAUACUGGCAGUCUUGAGUACAGUUGAGGUAGGCGGAAUUCGUGGUGUAGCGGUGAAAUGCUUAGAUAUCACGAAGAACUCCAAUUGCGAAGGCAGCUUACUAACCUGUAACUGACAUUGAUGCUCGAAAGUGUGGGUAUCAAACAGGAUUAGAUACCCUGGUAGUCCACACGGUAAACGAUGAAUACUCGCUGUAGGCGAUAUACAGUCUGCGGCCAAGCGAAAGCAUUAAGUAUUCCACCUGGGGAGUACGCCGGCAACGGUGAAACUCAAAGGAAUUGACGGGGGCCCGCACAAGCGGAGGAACAUGUGGUUUAAUUCGAUGAUACGCGAGGAACCUUACCCGGGCUUAAAUUGCAACCGAAUAUGGCGGAAACGCUAUAGCUAGCAAUAGCGGUUGUGAAGGUGCUGCAUGGUUGUCGUCAGCUCGUGCCGUGAGGUGUCGGCUUAAGUGCCAUAACGAGCGCAACCCUUGCCGAUAGUUACUAACAGGUUAUGCUGAGGACUCUGUCGGGACUGCCAUCGUAAGAUGUGAGGAAGGUGGGGAUGACGUCAAAUCAGCACGGCCCUUACGUCCGGGGCUACACACGUGUUACAAUGGGGGGUACAGAGGGCUGCUACCACGCAAGUGGAUGCCAAUCCCAAAAACCUCUCUCAGUUCGGAUUGAAGUCUGCAACCCGACUUCAUGAAGCUGGAUUCGCUAGUAAUCGCGCAUCAGCCACGGCGCGGUGAAUACGUUCCCG